Molecule: transfer RNA, 86 nt
Filed under: Gemmatimonadales bacterium
Lineage: Bacteria; Pseudomonadati; Gemmatimonadota; Gemmatimonadia; Gemmatimonadales
Description: tRNA-Ser
Rfam family: tRNA
About the family: Transfer RNA (tRNA) molecules are approximately 80 nucleotides in length. Their secondary structure includes four short double-helical elements and three loops (D, anti-codon, and T loops).
Source: RNAcentral
GGAGGCGUAGUCCUAAUUGGUAAGGCACCGCACUCGAAAUGCGGCGGGCUUCAUCGCCCUUGGGGGUUCGAGUCCCUCCGCCUCCG